CUGAGGUUUUUUGUUUUUUUGUUUUGUUUUGUUUUGUUUUUGAGUGAAUUAGACACGUAGCUUCUAUUCCAAUUUUAUGGAAACAUCUGAGAGUGUUCAUAUUUCUCAUUUUCAGUUUCACUUUGUGUACAUGAAGAUCACUGUGUGGAGUUACCUCUCUGAUUUUUAAUACUGUCUUACUCCCCAAAUCCCAGGCUGGGAUUAGUCCCACCCUAUGUGUUUGUAGCACCACAGUGUGCUUGCUUAGCCUGCCACACAGUGACCUCCUUAGCCUGGCAUGCUUUGUCAGCUUCUGGAAUAAUGAGAUCAUUGAUUUCAACCCUAUCUGGAAAGGAACUUCACGUGGUUAGAAGGACGUUACCAUCGCUUUUCACUUAGACUCUGUGCCAUGGUUGAAUGCUGAAAGGCCACAAGCUUGCAUGGGAUUCACCAUGUUUCAUUAUUAACUAUAUUGUAGUUUUAAAUUAUUAAAUUAAUGAAUGACAUUCUUACCAAGUAGAUGUUUCUAAGUAAGGUACUAUAUGUGUACAGUGGUCCAAAGUUUCUUAAUGCUCUGUGAUAAUUCUGUAAUUUAAUUAGUAUGUCUGUAUUGCAAAUUAAUAAAACUGUUGAGGUUAUAAAGUUGUUCAUUAAGGAAGCAAUUCUCUUGCCAUUUAGUUUGUUUGUUCUCUGCACUAAACUGAGAUGCCAGAUGGCCACAGGAAAACAUGUUAAUAUUAUUUAAAUAGUGCUUUUAUUCCUUGAAAUGUUUAAGAGGUUUAAGAAACUUCAAUUAACAAUGUUGCAUUGCAUUGUAUUUGGAAGAAAUAAUUUUUAGCACUUUACUCCUGUAAUGUGCCUUUGGUAUACAUGAUGGAAAGUGAUAUAUUGUAAAAGCAGUUCUAUUUCUUUUUCUGUCUUUAUUUAGUUGCUGUGCAUGUGUGUAUGCUUGUGUUUGUGUCUGUACAUGUAUGCGGGCCUAUGUGUCACCAGAGAACACUUGGAAUUCAGAGGAAAACUGUUGGAGGCAGUUCUCUCUUUGACCAUUGGCUUCCAAGAGUCAAACUCAGGUCUUUAGGCUGAGUAGAAAGCACCUACCUUUACCUGCUGAACCAGCACACUGGUCCAGCAAUUCUAUUUCUAGAUGUCCAGUUUUAAAAAUCUAAUAUUAUUCAAUAGGUGCUGGAAACUACAAAAAUCUUUUGCAGUUUCCAAUUUUAUUCGCAGACUUUAAAUUUUAUUGGUUUUGUGUUUCUGACUGCCUUUAUUUUCUCACAUUUCUGUAUUUAUACAUCAAUGCACAUGUAUACAUAAAUGAGCUGAAUCUAUGAUUUUCAUUGGAGGGUUUAUUCUGCCUGAAAUAAGGUAGUUUUUUCCCUUGCUUUCACAAUAUAAUCUAUUAUUCUAAACUCUGCAUGGAUUCCACCUGCAAUAUGAACUUCCCUCAACUGUAUAUCAUGAAACUCUCUCUCCUGCUUUUGGAUAUUUUUAGCCUUUAAUAUAUUUUCAUUAAUUUAUUAAAUAUGUACUUCCUCUUGGUAGUUUUUAAAAUAUUAUACUGCUUAAAUAUUUUUAAAUAACAUUCACAAUCAAGUUAGCUUCAGACCUCAAGAACAGGAUGUUUCCUGAAGCAAGCUUUGCAAAUUUAGUAUCUAGUUACUGUUUGGGAAAAAAAAUAGCAGUAUAUACAACAGAAAUAAGCAAUAUGAUCUAAAACAGCCAUAUCACAUGAGGGAUCCAUAAUAAUAUGGAUAAUAAUAUUCAAAUAAUAACUAUUAAAUAUAACUAUUAUAAAAAUAUUGAUUUUUCCAGAUGGUAGAGAGAUGAGAGAUAGAUAGAUAGAUAGACAGAAAGAAAGAGAGAGAGAGGAUGGCUAAAUUUCUUAAUCUUAGUUCUUAGUGUGUAUGUGAUUUGCAUAUACUUAUAUAUAUAUAUGUAUAUGCAUGUGAUUUGUGUAUCUGUGUGUCUGUUUCUGUGUGUGUGUGUGUGUGUGUGUGUGUGUGUGUGUGUGUGUGUGUGUGUAUGUGUGUGUUACUAUGUGUAAGUACCACAGCACAAGGACAGCCUCCAGUGUUGAUCUUCCACCUUGAGACAGGUUCUCUUUGUUGUUUUUUUGUCUGCUGAACCACAAGCUUCCAAGGAAUCCUCUGUCUCCACUUCCUAUCAUACUGCAGGGGUGCUAUGAGUACAGAUUCACACUACUGUGUCUGGCUUUACACAGGAUCUGAGGAUCCUCAAGCUUGCAUGGCAAACACUUUACCCACUGAGUUAUCUCUUAAACCCCCAAGAGUGAGUUGAAAAAGAGAAAAAUAUAAUGACUUAAUUUUGAUUAGUCUAUUACUAGUUUUCAAAAUUCACUCUAUUUUUGUCUUCUUAUUAUGAUGCUAAUGUGAGCUAGUGAGUUGCCAUUACAGUGUCUGCUUUCUGAGGAGGAACCCAGUGCUCAGAGAAUUAGAAUUUGAUCAUAAAGAUCUGAUCUUUAUAUAUUAAUCAUCUAGAGGGGCAGUCUAAAACCAUCCGAGUCUUAUAAUCCUGCGAAAUUCUGGUUUCUUACCCACCACUACUAUAUUAGCGAUCAUUACCACUUAAAAAAAUCAAUAUGGAUAAUUACGUUAUUACAAAAAUUUAAGAAACAAGUUAGGAAAAAAAGUAGUCUGAGAUUUGAUUGUUAGACUCAGAAGCUGUCAAAUGUCCUUAGCAGAGAGCUGAAAGAUUUCCUAAACUGCAGUCUUCAGUGUGUUCAUUGCUCUGGGUGGGUAAUGAGCAACACCAGGAACACUUCCCGUGCCUGGACUACAUUCUGAGUAUUGUUCAACCCAUCAAGACAAAUCUCUAAGAGGAUCAGCAUCAUCAAGAAUGCACGCCAACCAAGUUGCCAUGUUUACACACAUACUUUCCUUUCUCUGGCCCUCUCCCCAGCUGGUUGAACCAGGGCCACAGUGUGGCUAGUAACCUGUGAACUUGGUAAUUAUGUUUUAAAACUUGAGCUGGGUGUAUUAUUGUUGUUGCUGUUUUGUCUCUGGAUUUAGAUUUAACACAUGAAGAAAGGAUUUUCUAUAGCAUACCAAGGCACAUCAGAGGCAUCAGGACCUCAGAGUGACCUGUGAAAGCUGGAAAGUGUCAGGGCAAAAAGAGGAAUAUGUGCCAUAGAGCUGAGUCAUGUUAAUAAGGGAUCAGUAAAGCUUACAGAACUGCUGACUCUGCAGAGGUGCAUGAAGCUGCCAUCGCUCUAUAAUUACCUUGACUCCAAUAGCCCUUAGCCCCAGGCAUGAAACAGCAUUUUCUUUGACUGUUGUAAGAUAUAGAUCCCAUACUUCUUUCAGUGUACAUAUAUAACCUGGCUGGCACAAAUGGGCCUCUAAAUUAUUAAGAAACUUAGCUUAACCAAGACUUGGUCCCAGGCUUUUUACAUUUUAUCAAAUAAGCUUAUUCCAGAACUAACAGAUGCCACUGAGGAAGACAAAUUACACAUUUCGGCAGUGAUAUUUCAAACCGAACUGGUCUGAGCUAGUGGAAUACUCUACAUGCUUCUAAAAUUCUAUCUCUUAUCUACAUAUCUAAUUUUCUGUUUCUUUGUUUCCAAAUUCCUCCCCUCAAAGAUUGAUUACAGCAUUUUCUGUAAUUUGUUAUAGUCUGCUUUUGCUUAAGGAGACAAUCUCUGGAAAUUUAUACCAAAUUACCUCAGUAAUGGAUGUGCUCUCGUAAUUCACCUGUCUUCUGCAUGUUCGCUGAUUUGUGAAACUCUUUAGAACCAAACCUCACUCUUUAAUGGACCAGACAUGUGCUUUUAGCUGUGCUAACCGGGACGCAUAACAUGGGACAAUGGUUUCUGGAAUCCCCCCAGAAACUGAAGGUGCAAGUAGGAGAUUGUGUGUGCUGUGAUUUACAACACAUGAUUAUCGCCUUGAUGGUUCGUUGUCUUUCGAAAUGUAAGUGUUCCUGUUGUUUUUAACUCAUAAGCUACAGUAAAAUGCACAUUUUCUUUGUGGGCAAAAAGUAUCAUUUAGCACAAAAGUCAAAACAUAGCUUCUUUAAAAAAAAAAUCUCCAAUUAAUUCUGAAUUUUAAGUGACUACUAAAUUAAACGUUUCCUGUCACAUGUUAACAAUACGGGGCCUUCCACUGAAUGGCGCUCCGUGUAAUCUUAUUGAGCCAGUAGGUCACAGGAAUACGAGAAAACAUGUUUGAAUCACAGGAGAGAGAGGAUGUUGGAUGGAUCUGUGAAAUACUCUCUGUUGUGGUAUCAGCUGACUGAUGGCUGUGAUUCUCAGAAGGACUCCAACAUUAUGCCUCCUAAAAGCUGGAGAUUAAUGCGACCAUGGUGAACCACACAGCGACACUCUGGCAAAGAAAAAGGGUCAGGACUGGCAAGAUGUGGCAGGUGUCAAAAUAAAAGGUUAGGCUCUGUGCCUGGGGACCCAUCUGUCAGAUAAAACUAUGAUAAGGCAAUUAAUGUAUUUGUUUAUGUUGCUCAUGUCACACCAUGCAUAUUCCAUAAAAAUGAUCAGUUUAAACACUCUCAAUUGCUUUCUGGAAAUUAGACUAUAUGUAAAAAGAAAAUACUCAAGAUUUAAAAAAAAAGGUUUAUUAGUUAAAUGGAGAAUUUACACAGCCAAAUCAAAUUAACUUGAAGAAUUUCUAGUCUCUUUACUAAAGAACUAACGCUAUUAACUAUAACAUCUUCAUAAUGUAGAGUAUAUAUUAGGGACAUUUGAAGCUGAUGUUUAUGCUGCAAUGUAAUUGGUAUAUCACCUCAAAUUUUCACCAUGCUUUACAUUCAUGAUACUAGAUUCUAAGUUUGGAAUAAAAUACAUCCCAGAGAACUUCCAACCAUAAGCUAUGUAUCCUGCAUUUUCUUCAAAUGUUUUGUUCACAACGUUGUCAUUAUUAGGGCUUUCAUUUUCACUCUGUGAGUAAUCCUGACUCCUCUCAUUGUAUUUAUUAUUUAUUUAGCUUUCUCACGACAUCUGCUUUACAAUCUGUUUAAACUAGAACAUGUUUAAGUUUAAUAUUCAUCGGUGAUGUAUUUCUUGCAGACAAAAUAAAUUAUCAUAUGCUUUAAAAUGCCUUAUUAUUUUACAGGUCAAAAAAUAUAAAAGAAUUUACCCAGAAUUAUGAAAGAAAUAAGAUUUUUUUCCCAGUUCAAAAUUUCAGGUAAAAAUUAAUUUUCUCAUUACUUUCUACUGUGGAGUUAAAAAAAAGCUCCCAGUUAUUGUUUUAAUACAUUAUUCUUACAAUAAUGUUACGUUUUGAAGAGAAGAAACUGGUUCAUCAACUGCAUAAUGUGCUAUGCAGAAGGAAUAGUCAAGGCUUUUAAUUUCCGAGGAAAAGCCAGAUACGACUAUUUUGUUCUCAAGCUGCACUUUCUGACAGAGUGAUGGUGUUAGCAUCCAUUGUGACAACAAAAAGAAGCAUUUGAAAAACAGAGCUCCCAUGUUCAAUGGAUUUAUUUUCAUUUUGUUGAGACAGGAUUUACCCCACUACUUCCCAUCUAUUAGAAGGAUUUUCAUUAAAAUUUAAGUCAAUGAUUUUUUUUCACCAGGACAACGUCCCAGCCCAAAGCAUGUCACAAUCUUAAUUUUUCUUCCAUCUCUCAUGGAAGCAUGGCUUCAGUGGAGCAACAGGGAUAUUAUGGUAUGCUGAGGAAGUAAAGGUCAGUGGAGAUUCAAGACACAGAUUUUAUUAUAGGGUUCUUCCUGAGGUCUGAUGCACGACUUACAAAUUAUGUUUGCAGUCUGACUACAACUACUAUUUGAAAUUGAAUUCACUCCUGCCUGCAUUUCCUGGCUCAGAGGUUUAUACUGUUGCUUUAAUUUUAUUUGAAUUUCAGUCUUCUGAAUUAGCUCUGUUUCCUAUCUCUUUAUCUUCAUUUGCCUGGAUGUAGUUGAAAAUACACGAGGGCAAAAUAAAAUUCUUAGUCACCAUUCUGUAUGACUCUUCAAAAUUCUAAGAUGUGUAACAUUAGCAGGCUGUGAUCAAUUCAGCUAACUGGCCACUUUCUCUGUACCAUAGAGCAAAAGUAAUAAUCUCAACAGAAAGUCGGGAUCUCACUCAUUUUUUUCACAGAUCCAUUAAAAGAUCCAUCAAACAAAAGGUAAGAUGAUUUUUAACUUCUUCACAGUAGGGACUGUCCGUUAUAAAUGAUCAAUUUCACAGCACAUAUUCUAUCUUUACAUGGGAAGAAAAUAAACAGCUAGGUUCCUUUUAUUUUAAAAUGAUUUAAUUUCUACUUUCACUUUUCUACAGAAGUGUGAAAGAGCAAUUUUGCUGGAUAUCCACUUAUUUCAAUUCAGCCAUGUGACGAUAUUAUGAGAACUCUGGUGGGGUGGUUGACCCCUCUUUCCUCUGAGACUGUGCAAACCUGCCUCUGUUUUAAACAUAGAAAAAUCUACUUCAAAUUGACUAGCAUAUGCCCACCUGCAUCAGAUGUGCCCUUCCCUUAGCUUCCCAUGCUUCUGGACCUCAUCUGUCUCAGGCAUUGCUUUUCUGGCCAGACCCUUGUGUUUGUUUGUGCUAUCAUUUAUGGUUUUAGGAGUUUAUUUUAAUACAUUGAGCAUUUGCUCAAUAUUAGGUAAGUAAUAUUUUACCUCCAUUUCCAGAUGAUGAAUCCCUGGUAUACUGAGGGUAAAUCAUUCUUAAAAUAUGGACCUAUCUUCUUUUAGUAAUGGGGAUUCUAUGCAUCUACUUACUGCUAAAUUGCUGAGGAACCAGGGUGAAAGUCUGAGAGUUGUGUGGCAGGUAAGAAAAAUAAGCAAGUGAGUGUAUAGAGAAAAUUAGAAAAGGGGAAACAAGGAGGUUGGUUGGGGAACAAGCAUAACAGGGUUUUUGUUCGUUUUCUUAUUUUAAAGAGUUGGGUUUUCUUGUUGUUUCGUUUUUGUUUUGUUUUCUUUUGUUUUGUUUUGUCAUUUUACAUACCAUUCUCGGUUGUCCCUCCCUCCCCUUCUCCUGCACCCUCCCACCCUCUCCCAUCCCACUCCUCAUCCUCUGCUCAGAGAGGGUAAUUCCUCCCUUGGGGAUUCCACAAAGUCUGGCAUACUAAGUUGAGGCAGGACUCAGUCCCUCCCCACUGUCAAGGAUGAGCAAGGUAUCACACCCUGAAAAGAGGGAGGAGGGAUCAGAGGAGCAAGUGAGGUCAAGAUCAUGAUGGGGGAAACCAUGAAGACAGCUGAUCCAAGCUGGUGGGAGCUCAUGGACUCUGGACUGUCAACUGAGGAACAUGCAUGAGACUGAACUGAAUGUGGGUGACAGUUAUGGGGCUAGAUCUGUCUGGGGAGCCCCUGGCAGUGGGACCAGGACUUAUCCCAGGUGCAUGAAGCAUAAUGAUUUUAAGAUAAAGCGUUACAGCAAAGCAUGGGUAAGAUAUAACACUAGGUGGUUCAGUGGUGUUUCCUGUUGCUCUGUUAAAAUACCCUGUCGAAAGCAUCUUAAGGGAGACAGACUGUCUAACAGCUCACAGUUCAAGGCACAGUCCAUCCUGCUGGGGGAGUCAGACAGCAGGGACCUGAAGGAGCUGAACACAUCACGUUUACAUGUAGAAGAGAGCAAUGAGUCCAUAUGCACCAAUGCUCAGCUCACUUUCUCCAAAACCCUGCCUAAGAAUGGUACCACCCACAGAGGGUAGGUCUUACCUUCUAAUUAACUUAAUCAAGAUAAUCCCCCACAGAGACCAGUCUCCCAGGUGAUUCAAGACUUUUGUCGAGUUGAGAACAUGAACCACGACACUAUGGAAACUUGCAAAAGCCUCACAAUAAUGUUGGAAAGGAGAAAAAGGAAACCCUGAGAAAUAACAAAUACAUGGGUUUCUGGGCCUUUAGCAUAAUUUGAUUAAUUCUGAAAUAAUGUUUCCAGUAUGAAAUUAAUUUUCAAGAUAGAAUAACGAGGAACCUCUGUCUCUGAAGAGGUUAUUCAUGUUGUUACACUUCAUCAUGGUAGUGGUUUAGCAUGUGAGGAAGACAUUAUACAGUGACUUGGAAGACAGACUUUGUAGACAACGAGGAGCCUGACUCCCUGCUCCCUCCUCCCUGUCAUGUGUGUGAUCUUGGCAGGAGUCUCAGAGCUACUUCCUCCUGCAGCAGAGGAGCUGACUGUGUGCAUCUCCCUAGUAUCCUGUCCAGUAACAUCCCAGCAGCGGAUCUCACACAACCAACGUGAUUUAGAGCAUUACGUGGGCAAUCCUAGAUUAGGCAAAUCAGGGCUCUAGUCCUCCUGCAUUAUUCCAGGAGGCCGACAACAUCCCUAGCCCUUACAAGUCUUCCUUCUUGAUUUUCACUGGAAAAGAAACAAAUAAAUUGAAAGUACUCUCUGCAGACCUUUCAAUAGAUGGUAGAUUUCAGGUUGCCUGUAUGUAGCAAACAUCAAUAUCAUAACUCUUGAAAUUUAAUUCAGCGUGUUCUACAGAACAGUGAACACUUUUGCAAUUCUAAUGCACUAGAAAGCAUUUCAAUUAGUUCAUCAUAAUUCCAGGGGAAGAGGAUUUGUAAAAAUCCUUUUACUGGCUUUACAGGUGAGAUAUUUUCCUUUAAGUAUUAUUAGGAGCUUCCAAAGACAACAUACAAUUAUAAAUAUUUGUCUAUUAAAUUCAUAUAUAUACACACAACUAGGAUAGAUAUAUAUUCUCUAUAUAUGUGUAUAUAUAUUUAUAUAGAAACAGAAAUUAAAGUAGAGACCAUGGAGAAAUGCUGUCUACUAGUUUGCUCUCCACGGCCUGCUCAACUUGCUUUUUUAAGCAACCCAAGACCAAUUCAUUCUGGGUGGCACUGCCAUGAUGUGAACUGUCUCACAUCAAUCAUUCAUCAAGAAAAUGCCCCUCCCCCAGGUGUUCCUAUGAGCAAUGUGAUGGACACAAUUCUUCAGUUGAGCUUCUCUUUUCCCAGUUAACUCAAGUUUGUGGAAAGUUGAAAGAAAUUAACCAUCAACACAUGUGCGCAUGCACACACACACACACACACACACACACACACACACACACACACACACAUACCCCUCUUGGUAUUUUAAACACUUUUCAGAAUUAGAGUAAAUCUGUGGCUUCAGUUCUUCACCAUACUCCUGGAUAAGUUACUAUGAGGUCUGAUGCUGGCUGUAUGCCCUGCUCUUCUGGAAGCUCUAAUAGAAUAUUCUAAGCCAGAGGCCACUGUGUCUAUCAUGAUGACAGGCAGUGUGUACAAUGUAAACCAUUAAAGGUAGGCUCUGCAGGGUAUCAGGAAUUUAAGUAAAGAUUAAACCAUCAGUAAAUCAGCCUACUGACUUGCCUAGCUAAAACCUCUUUCAUCUAGGUAGUCUUCAACAUGGAUUAUUUGUUCUUUGGAUCCUUCCUUUUUAUUUCUGCUCUAAGAAUGUAAUUUUUACAAUAUGUAAGAAUAACUUAUGCAUACACAUUUUAUUGCAAAAUAGUUUAUAAACUGUGAAGGUAAUUUUACUGUCAAAAAUAUUUUUAAAACUUAUUUAUGGAAUUGUGUAAUAUUGAGAAUACUGAAGUGAAAUUGUUAUUACUUAACAAACUGUGUGAUUGUUUACAAAAGUGAGAAGAAUUCCUCUGUCUCCAAGUGUGUGCACUUUUGCCAUAUGCUAGUCCAUACCCCACCCCUCCACCCCCACUGCCACUUCAAUCUGGGCUUUCCUAAUUGCCACACUUUGUCCAAUAUCACUUUAGGCAGCAUGACUAAGGGAGAUAUUUAUCAAGGUUGCCAUAUCUGCUGUCCUGAAGUCACCAUUUCAAAGAAGCUUGAGUUACUUUCCAGGAAGCAGAAGGGAGCCCACAGGAGAGAGAUGUUAUAUAAGCUAAGGGCCCUCAACAAAAUACUAGCUACAUGACAGUGGCUAUAGUAUACUAAGAUGACCUGUCCAGUGUUAGAUAGUCGCACAUCACCCAAAGACUCAUGAGAAUAGGUAAUACAAUUGUUUUAAGCCAGGUAGCUCAUGGAAAAAAUUCAGCUAUUUUUAAAAAUGCAGAAUCUGGGGUGACACAGAAACAUAUAUUUACUUACAUGUUAUCUAAGAUUAGUUUCAUAGUGUACAAAAGUGGUAGAGUUGAAUAAUCAGAGAGUCUAUGGCGUGAAGAGCCUAAAAAUAUAACAUCUUUCCUUUUUCAGGGGAAACUUCAUGAACUCUUUCUUUAAGUCUAGGAGGCAGGGUGAUUUGUUGGGCAGCAAUAAAUUACACAGACAUUUGCCCAAAGCGAACAUGCCUCAUUCCUUAUUAAACCAAUAAAUUCCUAUGCUCCUGAAAAACUACACAUGCAUUGGCAGAGCCAAUAACCCACUCCAUGGGUAAAGCUUAUUGUUCAGCUUGCAUUUCUAAAGGACAGUGAUGCAGAUGGUUGGUUGAACACCAGCAUCUGCUACUUAUUCACCACAGCAGUGGAGCUGGGCAUAAGGCUGGCUACUCUUCCAGAAUUGGAUUUCUGAGUCCCUAUGUUAUAUGUGACCCCGAGUUUGUAUUUCCCUUUCUGAAAUAAGAAGAGAACAGAUGAUAGUAUUUCCUUGGGUUUCUCCUUACCUUUCUUACUCUUCCAACUAACAGAAACUUAUAGCUACUUGAUUUACCUCCCUAAUAAGUAUAAUAGGCUAGAGAAGGAGGAAGAAAUGAAAACUAUUCAAAUAAUUUAAGCCAACUUUUUUACUUUCUAGAAUUCCAUGGAGCAGAAGUUCUAACAGCUUAGAAUACUCAUAUUGAUCUACAAAUUAGAGAGAAGUAAAGUUGAGUCUUCUCUAAUGUACCAAAUGGCCAUUGGUUAUCAUAUUUCAGCAGAUUGACCAUCUCCUAACAAAGGUAACAGUUUUAUUCAAAAAGUUUUGGCACCAAAAUGAUUUAGCUGAUAAAACAUUGGAUAGUUGGUUCCAAACUCUAAGUGACUUUGAUAAACUUUGCCCCAAUUUUGUUAGUUGGCCAGAGGCGAACCAUUUACAGUAACCAUACUUUUUUCUCUUCCUAGGUAAAAAUAUACAACUCCAGAUAGACGAAGCAGGAAUUUUGAACACUGAUCUUUCUAAUUCCUGUUUCUCCCAAGUCAGAGGGCUGCAGUAACUGGCGAUCGCCCUAGGCAUGUGUCACUUUAGUUCCCAGAAAUGCUUGUGCACCAACACAGUGCCUUAGGUGAUGUGAUAGGGGUAUAGUCAAGGUGAGCCUUUGCCAUGAGGCUGAAAAGUGCAUACAGAGAAUGUUUUUAGGCAAUUAGCAGAAAAUUAGGGAGGAGAAUUUUAGUCACACUGGGAAUCCGUAAACUAAGAUGGCAGUCAAUAUGGUUUAAUGAGGGUAACUUUGAAGUAUGUACACUUGACAUGGUUCCCAUUUCCCCAGUGGUUGUCUCCUUAAGACUGGGGUGGAGCCUACCAACUCAUAGAGGACACUAACCUAAGCAAUUCUGGGAGUGACCCAUUCUUAGAAAACCAAGUCUUUAGCAGACUUAAUAUCCAGAGGUUAAGACCCUGUUAUAGAAAUUCUGAAAAUCUAAAUGCAGCAAAUGUGUUCUGGAGCAAAAACAAAACAAAAAACAACCAAAGAAAAAAAAAACAAAACAAUAAUAACAAAACCUUUAGUUUUAUUUCCAAAUGAAAUGCAUUUAAAAAAUAUUCUUCCCAGAGGAUUUUGUUGAAAGUAAAGAAUACUUCCCAAACACAACUGUAAAAAAUGGAAGCUGGCUUGUGGUGCUUGGGGACUGCCUACUCAUCUGGCAAUGCCCUCUUAAGAGUAACUUCUUUUGGAAACUGUAUCAGCUGUUCUUGUUAUGGACCAUCUCGGAUUCUGUAAUUUCUGGAUCAGGAUGAGCGUAAUAGUCUUAGUUAUCUAAGUACCUGCUUUCCCUGCUGGACUCAAUGCCAUGUAAGGAAAGAAAACAUAUUUUUCUUGCUUACCAAAAUAUUCCCAUGGCUUGUAAAGAUGGUAAGAAAUACUUGCUGAAGAAAUAGAUCUCUAAGGGGAAAACGACUGAUUGAAUUUUACCAGCAUUGGAAACGGGCAUGAACAGUGAUGAGCCCUCUGCAAGAUGAACUUGUAUGGAGUAGAUAAUGACUUAAGCAACAUUGAGCAAGGGGUGUUUUCAAAAGGCAAUAUUGGGCCAUGCCCAUUAUGACUAUUAUAGCCAGAAGACACAUGAGGGAAAUGUCCAUUUUGGUGCAGGGCCAAGGACUGGCAAGGAAAAUUCAAUUCAGACCAAUCUCCCUAUAAGGACAUACUUAGCUUUGGGAAAGGAAAUUGGAACUCAUUUGGGUUUUCUAUCUCACAAUAUAAUUACUAUGGUUAUUCUUCAGGAUGUGUAUUCACAUACAUGAGAGCUGGUGUUUAGAUAUCCUUCUUAUGAGGGUAGUAAUCUUCCCAGGUGCUGAAGUCCAAAAUGGAAAAAAUAAAAUAGCCAACUGAAAAUAGAACCCAGUUCUCCAUGAUUAUGUUGAAAAUUUAAGUAAAAUGCAUUGCUGGGGGGCUGGUGCACUCCAGAAGAGAGGAGAGAUAAUCAAAGCAAAGACAAGACCCAACACACUGGAGGGAAAUUAGAGGAAAUGUGGGAGAAAACGGUCUCUUAUGCUCUGUGCCACAUAGGAACACAUCUGUGUCACUCAGCAAUGUCAGAACUUACUGAAUAACAAUAAAUUAGCAAGGUUUGGUAGUUUCAACUACAGUAAUUUGCUAGAUAACCCUUGGUAAUCUGUCUAAGGCAAAUGAAAGUUCUUUUAUUUCAAUCUUAAUUAUUAACGUUAAAUCUUAGAUCAUGCAUCACACAACCCACAGUGAGUUUGACAAUAUAUCUUUAGACAGAAUGAAUAUAAGUUAAAGAAGCUGCAUCAGCAUUCAAAAGGUCCUAGAAGUAGGCUGAUGGAAAUGUUAAUAGAGUCUGUAUUGAUAAGAUAACUAAGAAUUCAGGCCAGGGUAACAUAUGAUAGAUUGGUGGGAGGACCUGCCAUCAUAGUGCUAGACGCCCAUCCUUUUACCAGGUUCAUGUGAAGGAGAUACAGCUUUUCCUUGGUCUAAUGAGUCUUGUGCAUUCUUGUGUCUAGUUUCCCUGCUAUGAUUUUAAAAAUGCCCAGGUGCCCUCAAAGUCUCAGUUCACACCAAUAAACUUAAAAGGUGGCAUCCUUUCUACUACAAGGAAUAGGUCAUUUAUCAGUUGGAACUAGAUGGGUGGUACUCAAUGAAUACUGUGGGUUAUGGGUACACCAGGGACCACAGUCAUCUCCCUCUAAAACGGAACAAAAAGCUGUUUGUAAUAUAGAGUGCCCUAGGUCAAAGCACAGUCUGAAAACCCUUUGUUUUAUACAAUAGAAAGUAACUAAGAGAGGGGUAAAACCGGAUCUCAACAAAACCAAAAGGGGUAAAAGUCAACCUGACUGGGAAAAAUCACUUACCCUCUCUCUACCUGUAUCUCAUUAGUAAAAUUAGGAUGAAAUAAUUUAUAAGGUUGCUAUUAACGUUCAAAUUUUUAUGAGCAGCGAGGCUUUCAGAACAUGAUGUCUUCAGCAGAAAACACCACCAUUUUUCAAUAUUCCUUUUACAUGUAAUGGAAACAAGUUAAAAUAAUAGGUCUGAUGUUCACAAAGCCAUUAAAUAUUUACUGUUCACUCUCUUGAUGACCAUUUUGAUUCAUUACAUAGUAUAUAUAAAUCAUCGAUAUUUUCAAAUUACAAACAGCUCAGGAAGAAAUUUUGCAUCUCCUGCUGUGGCCUUGAACUAAAAUAUGAAUUACCUCCGUCUUGGUGGGGAUGUUUUUAAGCUUAUCAUUUGUUAAGAGCACUAAGAACCUAAGCAAAAUACUACAUAUGUAUGAUAAGUGCAAGAUAUUGCAUAUGUAUGAUAGGUUUAUUAUGAUAAUUUUCCUUGAAUUGUAAAUUGUAUCACAUAGAUCAUUUUACCUUUUCUGGGAGUCUCUUUGUUUAUUUUUAAAAUAUUAGUAUCCAGUAACAACCCAAUUCAAACAGAAAGAGAUGUUCUCUGUGUCACACAAUAUACCAUUAGUGAAACUAAAAUAUUGUGUUAUUUCUCUCAAGGGAAAUAUAAUUAAAGAUAAAGGGAGAUGUGGGGAGGAUGGCACUGAUUUAUAAAUAUCACAGUGCUAUUUUAUGAGUCUAUACAUUCUUGUUUUUUUCAUUUAGUUACAUGUCCCUACUACUGCCUUUUCUGUUUCCUAAAGUGUUGAUGUUUCUAUCCCCUGGGGUGCAGCCUUCAUAGUUUGCAAUUUCUCCAAAUACUCCAAAAAUCGUUGUCUGUACUAGGUGUUGCACAGCAAAGAACCAUCCAUCGAUAAGUCUUUCAAUGUUCAUUCCAACACUCCCUUUCCAAACUUGUUCUCAAACUCUGUCACAGAUCCUUGGCCUCCUAAAAUUACCAUUACCUACCCUAACCCAUCCCCACCCCCUCUUUCUUAUGCAAAUGAACGUGCCCUGGCCUCCUGCCUUGAGACUCAAGUCAACUCCUUCCUGAAAGCUUUUUUUCCCCAAAAAAUUCUUUCUUUUCAUCCUGUUUUUGAAACUAUGUCUGUUUUUGAAAUUCAGAAAAUGUGGCAGUCAGGUAAUAAGCAAAUCUGUCAGGGUUCCCAAACUGAUAGAUGAUGAAUGAAGUCAGCGUCUGUUUGGAAGACGCUAAUAAUGGUUCUGUUGGGUCUUACUGCUUGUGUACAUUCGAAAUGCAGAUGGUGUGUGGUAUACAGCCGGAAGUAGCAUUAAAAUAAGUUGCACACCAUCCUUUAGUUCCCCAAGUUUGCCAAUUAUCUUAGAGCACUGGUCACAAACUAUACAAAUAGUUUGCAGGGGUGAGAGUGAGGUGCUAGCAAGUAAUCCAAAUAAAAAUAUUCAAAUGACAUCCAGUGAUGCUGGCAUUCCUAGGCACUGAGAAUGCCUACCACUACAUUCACCAGAUGUUAAAAAUUACCUCUGCACUACUGAACACAAUCUCUAGACAAUAUUACUAUUCAAAUUUAUUCAAUUUAAGAUAAAGUUCCUAGUAUGCAUAAAACUACCUUAAUUUGUUGUGUGAAAUAGGUAAAGUAGUUCUGAUUUUAGUUUCUGAGACAACUCCAUACUGAUUUCCAUUGUAGCUGAGUUAAUUGCAUUACAACACCUCUUUUUUUUCAUUUCUAUUGUUUUAUUUGUGUUUUUGUUUAUGUUUGUAUAUAUGUGUGUGUGUGUGUGUGUGUGUAUGUGUGUGUGUGUGUGUGUGUGUGUGUGUGUGUGUGUGUGUGUGUGUGUGUGAAUACAUCCUGCAUUCUGCAGGUGCUUUGGGAGGCCAGAAGAGGGCGUCAGAUCACCCUGGAGCUUGAGUUACACAUGGAUAUGAGCUGCCCAACUUUGUAAUUCAGCAGACCAGCAGCUGGGAAGAAAUCUUCAUUUUCCUCCCUGGGAAGUAAUAGCUUCCAGAUACUGUCCCUCUUAGAAGCAAAGAGAAAUUUACUUGUUUUAACUGUUUAUAAUUAUGCACUGCUGAUUGUUUUGAAUGGCUUCUACAACAUAUGUAUCUUUAGUUAUUAUCCAUUUUGGUGAAGAUAAACACUGGUUUGUUUAUUUUCAGAAUUUAUAAUAAUACACUUCAUUAUUAAAUUUCUGCAAUUGACUCCCUCCUUCUAUUAUCUAUAAAAAUUUGCUCUCUCACAGUCGCCCUCCCCCCCAGUUUUUGGUUAAAAUGAAUACCAUUGUUACAAUAAUAAAUUCAUGUGUGUAUACGUGCAUAUGAGUACAUGUAUUAAUUUCUGCUGAAUAUGUACUGAAUGCAAUUGUUCAUGUGUUGCUUUAAUGAGCCUGUGCAGCUUUUCUCCAAACUUCUCUCUCCAGUUUGUAUUUUGUCAGCACCGGGCUGGGUUCAGCUGCACCAUGGCCUCACCGGUACUGGAGUUGUCUGCCACCUCUUUCCUCUAUUCUGGUAGGUUAGCAAAGGCCUUAAUCAGUUUCUGACUUCCAUGAAGAUAAUGAACAAAGUAAUCGGGGGAAUUUAUCACAGGUCUUCUGGACACGCACAUUUUUCAACAGUCUAUUGAAGUCCUUUCCCAAGUUUUCUACUAGACUGAAUCAUUUUCAUAUUGAUUUGAAAAUGUUCUUAAUAUAGCCCAGAUGAAUUUGGAUACUAUCAAUUUACGCAUGUGUGUAUGCCACUUACCAAUAUGUUUUGAUUUUAAUUCUAUCUAUGAUGUCUUUAGUCACCAAAUAUUCUUUAUUUUUUUAAAUUUUAUUAUUCAUUAUUAUUGCAGACUUCUGUGAUGUGUGUGUGUGUGUGUGUGUGUGUGUGUGUGUGUGUGUGUGUGUGUGUGUGUGUUUGUGUUCUUGUGCAAGCCAGGCCACAUGUGUGUAGGUCAGAGGACAAUAUUCAGGAGUGGAUUCUUUGACUAUGCAUCCCAGAGACUGAAUUUAUGUUGUCAGGCUUGUGCAGAGCACUAACACUCCACUAAGCCCUUUUCAUAGCCAAACAUUCUUCAAAUUAGUAUAGUAAAGCUUACUAACUGGACUGUAAUGCUGUUUAACUUAACAUUUUCUCCUUAAUGUAAUGUUAAUGAUAUGUACUGAUUAAUAAAUCAUUGACUCUUUCUAGAAUAUUCAAUUUCCUUAUUGAUUUUUAUUGUUUUGCAGCCUUGUUCUUUGAUACUAGGAAUUUUAAUUGUGUGUGUGUGUGUGUGUGUGUGUGUGUGUGUGUGCGCGUGUGCGUGUGCGUGUGCGUGUGCGUGUGUAUCCAAUGGAAUCACUUCCCGGCAUUCCCAUAGCCUGUGGCACCUCCUUAGUCAUAUGAAUGUAGGAUAUUAUUGAGUUCACAUUGGUUCUUCUGGCAUAUUACAUUGUCAAAACUAUACCAUUUUAAUGAUCAUGUCUUGACAAUAGCUGAUAGAAAGUCAUUCUUCCUCACUCUUCUAUAAGACUCUUGACUAUUUUUUAAACACAUUUAAAAUUAAAUUUAUGUAUUCAUUCAUUGUGUGCUGAGGGCAUUUGUGUCACAGCACAUGUGAGAAGAACAUAAGGUAUCUUGUGGCUCGCCUUUGAUCACGUGGGUCCUGGAAAUCAAAUCCAUGUCCACAAGCAUAGUAACAAGUGCCUCUACCCACUGAGUCAUCUUGCUGACCUUAGGUUCCUGACUAUUCUUAAACCUCUGCAAUUAUGUACAAUAUUUUAAUAAACUGAUCAAUUUUCAGAUGAAGACCUCAUCUGUUCUCUGAAUACUAAGAGGUUUCAAUAUUUUAAUAAACUGAUCAAUUUUCAGAUGAAGACCUCAUCUGUUCUCUGAAUACUAAGAGGUUUCAAUAUUUUAAUAAACUGAUCAAUUUUCAGAUGAAGACCUCAUCUGUUCUCUGAAUACUAAGAGGUUUCAUGAUUGGUUUUUGAACUUUUUAAUUCAUGUGACAAGUUUUCUUAUUCUUUUUGAUGUUAAUGUUAGCUAUUUGUAUUCUUUUGUUGCUAAAACCCUGUUAUAAUGCACAGACUAAAACUGACCCAUCCAUUUUAAUGUACUGCUCUAUUUAGUUGGCUAAUAUUUUGGUCAGUACACUUCUAUCUGUAUUCAUGAAAGUGGUUCGUUUGUGAUUUUAAUUUUUUGUAAUAUUUUUGCCAGAUUUUACAUAAACCCAUCAUUGAAUGGAAAUUGUUUCCUCUAACUAUUUCCAUCAUUUUGUAGUGGGAUUUGUGUAGAAAUUCUGUUAUUUUUUCCUAAGUACUUAAAAAAGUUUCUUGAUGGAUUCAGUUGAAAUAGUGUUUCCUUACAAAAUUAAAAAAAAAUAUUUCAAAGCAAAUAUGAUAUUCAAAUAUCUAUGUAUUUUUAAAGCUUUUAUAUUUUUAAAUAGUUCAUUUUACCUUAUUUAUUAAGGACAUUUACAUAAAGUAAUUAAAUAUAUUUUUUAUUUUUAGAUAUCAGUAGGACUAAGAGUGAUGUCUUUAUUUUUGUUUCUUAUAUUGAUAAGCAGGUUUUAUUUUAUUUAUUUGGUUAAUCAUGUAGGUUGUUAGCAAUUUUAUUAUCCCAAACCAGAAAAGAACUUUACACAUUGUUGAAUGUAUAUAUAAUGUGUGUGCUUUGUAUUUCAUUUAUUUAUACCCUUUAUUGUUUAUGUCAAUCUAUUUUGCAUGAAUAAUGUGCUGUUCAUUUUGCUGGGAGAAUUCUUGAGAUGGAAUCUUAGAUGUUGACUUUCAACCCCUUUCUUCUCUAACAUGAGAAUUUAAAACUCUCUAAAGAACAUGACUUCAUUUUUAUUCCUUUUUUUAAAAAAUCUGCUCCAUUGACGCUUCAUAGACAGACCACCGAAACUCCACUGACUUUUUCUCAUGUUAUUGAAGAGUAAAUGACUUAACUUUCAGAAGUUAGAGAUUUUUAGUUAUUUAUCCUAUUUUUUAAAAUUUGAAUCAGUAGUAGUUAGAAGCCUAGUCUCUGUAUUAUUAGUUGGAAUCUGUUAAGAUUCAUUUUCGGUAUGGGUUCAUUGUAUAUCUAAAGAUACUAUGUAUUUAAUCCAAUUUGUAUGCGAGUGUGUGCCAGUGAGUCAUUGGUUGGGUUGUUUAGAUCCUGCAUAUACAAUUUUUGUCUUUUCUAUUUACUCUAUCACCCCUCAAUAGUAAUCAGUUGAAUUUUCUGAAAUAUCUUUGGAAUUAUUUGUCUUUUUGCUACAUUUUAUCUACCAUUUAACUACAUUUUUUUAUGUAUAUGUUAUUUCUAAUCUAUGUAUUUAUGUUAUCUAUUUAUUAUUUAUUUAUAUUCUUUUUUCAUACAUAAAAAUAAUUUUAUAUUUAUCUAUAUUCUAUUAUCAUUGAUUUAUGCCUCUAUCAUCUAUCAUUCUAGCAUGGAUAUUACAAGUUAUUGGAUAAACACAAUCUUUAAACUGUAUAUACUGUUGUUGGUUUGAUCUUUUAUUAAUGUGAAAUAUUGUUACUUACAGAAGUUUUCUAGUUUUACAACCCAACUCUAUUUUAAAAUAAUCUAAUAACUUCUUUUUCAAUGUGUUUCUAUGGAAUUUUCUUUCAUAUUUCCCUAUGGUCACACAUGUAUGUGCAUGCACACAUACAAGCACACAUACACACUAAAUAAAUGAAUGUAAAAAGGAAAAAGUACUAAAUAAAGCAAAUGGUAUAUAGAAUAUACUAGAAAUAUAUUAACAUCCUUCUUUCUUUUGUAGUUUCUUUGUUGAUUUGCUUGGUAUUUGAGAAAAGAUAGUGCCCUAAAUGAUCUUAAAGUCAACAUGAAGCUCAGGGUGGCCUUGAACUCAUGAUUUUCCUGUCUCAGCCUUCAGAAUGGUGAAAUAUACCAGCAUGCCCAGCUCUUCUCUACUCCAUUUCCAAGAUUGUUUUAGGUUGAAUUGGAUGUUGUUACUAUAACAGAUUAAUGUAUGAGUUACUGUAUUGACAGGUGCCUUGUGUGGGCUGAGCUCCUUUAAGUACUAAAGAAUGAGGGCCUGGUUCAGGGGAGGUACCCUGACAGACACUGCUGGUUUCUUGUUUAAGUAUAGGAUUGUUUUUCUUCUUGUGAUUAUAUUCUCUUUUCACACAUAAUGCCAAGGAUUAGCAUCUUUCUUUUUUAUUGGCUUGCCUUUUCUGCAGUUUAUCUCUUUUAAUGAUCUCUUGGAGAGCUAGCAUUUAAAUUUAUCACUCAACUGUUCUCUCACUUAUAAAUUAUUGAUCUCCAAUGGUAUCUUUAUUAAUUCAUUCCUGCCAUUUUAUACUCAUUUAGAAAAUUAUUCCUUUUUUUAGUGGAAUGAUUAAUUAAUCUAUUUCCAUUCUUUCUUGUUUAACAUGAAAAACAUUAAAGCAUUAUAUUUUCUUCUGAGUACUGGUCUGGCAAAAUCCUACCGUGUUUAGUUCUUCUAUGAAUAUUUUUGAUUUUUAACCUUGCCAUGAGUGGGGAAUCAACCUCCCCCCUCUUAUCCAAAUUCCUAAGAUUGACCCACAGCUCCAACAUUGCUACCAUCUUCUGAUAUGGUGGCAUAUACUUUAGCUGAGUGCCUCUUCUCACCUGCUUUUGUAACUGUCUGUGGCCAUCUCACCAAGAUCCAAGAGGAGAGCUGAGUGACGAUUCUGGGAUGGUAGGGGAUGUGAACAGUGACAGUGAAAGGAAGUCUUUGUCUUUUUCCUGAUACUUCAAAUGCAGAUCUGAAAAAGGAAGGAUCUGGACCUCCCCACCUGGAUCCCAGGUGAAAACAGCAGCUUCUGGAAUGAGCAAGCAGAAGACCCAGUCUCCAAGGAGCUACUUUAUCUGACCUGAAAAUGUACAAAAUUAUUGUUGUAAGAGAGAAAUUUACAUCUAUCCCUUUAGGGACCAUUAUUUCAAGACUCCACUUCAGCAGCCGCAAAUAUAUAAUAACUGAUACAGUUACUAAUUACUAGUUGAGUUGCAUUGCUACCAAGGAAUAUGAAAUAUAUAAAAUGUAUGUCCUAGUUCUAUAUAGGAUAUACUAAGAUACUUUAGCUGUCUAAGAAGUGAUCAAGUUUUGUAAGUAUUUACUACUGUUUUUAUGAAUUUUCUAUUACAUAACUGUAUAUUGUCUUAGCUUAUAUAUAUAUAUAUAUAUACAUAUAUACAUACACACACAUAUAUUUGCUAUUCAACCCACAUUAUUAGUUGUGUUACUACUUUCCAUAUCAUGCUCUAUAUAACGGAAUUACAUAGAAGACUGAUGAGUUUCCAUCAAAAUAAAAACAUUUCCUGGUCCCUUUA
Molecule: long non-coding RNA, 20570 nt
Organism: Peromyscus californicus insignis
Lineage: Eukaryota; Metazoa; Chordata; Mammalia; Rodentia; Cricetidae
Exons: 2
Source: RefSeq, a predicted model, not a curated record